This 315-nucleotide ribosomal RNA is filed under the name uncultured bacterium. RNAcentral describes it as "bacterial SSU rRNA". It matches the Rfam family "Bacterial small subunit ribosomal RNA", at positions 28 to 326 of the family's 1533-position model. The record is from RNAcentral.
GACGAACGCUGGCGGCGUGCCUAAUACAUGCAAGUUGAACGCAACAAAGACACCAGAGCUUGCUCUACCGUCUUUGUUGAGUAGCGAACGGGUGAGUAACGCGUGGGUAACCUGCCUUAUAGCGGGGGAUAACUAUUGGAAACGAUAGCUAAUACCGCAUAACAAUAGAGAUUGCAUAAUCUUUAUUUGAAAGUGCCAACUGGUACACUAUGAGAUGGACCCGCGUUGUAUUAGCUAAGUUGGUAGUGUAAUGGACUACCAAGGCGAUGAUACAUAGCCGACUGAGAGGUGAUCGGCCACAUUGGGACUGAGACA